AUGCUGAGAAGAUCUUGUGCCAAUCAUUAAGACCUCUAGUCAUGUCUGAGUGCCAUUUCGUUUGGUGUAUCCGCACUUGUAUCUCUUGCCCAAGUCUCACUGACUUGGAACUUAAUGACAAUGCGGGUUUGACUCCUUUCCUUGAGAGCAUGCCAUCGUUGGUAACGGCCUCCGUCUGGUUUGAUGGAGAUUGGGCUGAUCGUGAAUAUCGUUAUGAUCAUUGUUUUGAUAGUUACUAUGGGGGCUGUGAUGACGGGUCUUGUCUUGCCUGCCAUAUCAUCAACCUUGAAGGUGAUGGUUGUGUGUUUCUAGAAGGACUGUGCGGCGCUACAAACUUGAAGUUGACGAGUGCUCCUGAAAUGUUUAUUUGCAGAAGGGAUUUUAAAUGGCGCCAUACGUUUAGCAAGUUAAAAACAUUGUUACUUAAUGAGUGGUGUCUGGUUGCUGACUUCAGUGGAUUGGUAUACUUUCUUCGAUACUCACCAAUUCUAGAGAGGCUUAGGGGCUGUUUGGUUGCUGUCCUGAAGCCCAUGUGCCUGGCCUGAAGACUCCCUGGAAGCUGCCUGUAAAUUGUUUGCUUAGCACCCUGAACAGCAGCCUGGCUCAGGCCACCAAAACUGAGCGCCUGAGCGUGGCUUCAGUUUUGAAGAAACAUGCCUGAGGUUCUACUCACAUUUAUUACCGUCAGGCACAAAGCUCUGAAGCAGUCCAAACCAAACAACAAUUUUCUUCCAAGCCUAACCAGGCAAUAGUUAACAGAUUCUCAGGCAACCUUCAGGCAUCAUAUUUUUUCAGGCACGAUACUCAGCAACAAUCGAUCAACGAAAGCUACAAGCCGAGAAAACAAUUCUCGGUAUCGAAGAAUCUCAAAGCAGUUGAAAUCAAGUGUCAAAAGGAAGAUGAAAGGAUUCACCAAAUUACAAAGAUCCUUAUCAGCCUUGGAGUACCUGCUCAGCAUAUUAACAUCCAACAUAGACUUGUGGCAUUUUAAUUGCUUCAGUUUCGAGCAGGGGUAGCUUCAGCUGGUAUACUGUUUCUUCGUUUUACAGAUUUUACGCCCCUGAAUCUGGUCUGGGAUCACUAAGUUCUGUUGAUCAGGAUUGUCUGCCUACCCCUGUCCGGUUUGUAUGAAAUUUUGUAUAAUAUGGUAUGCAACUCGAGUAGGUUUAAAUGUCACCCUAGUCCCUGUUGCACCGCUGCUCAUUUUCCUGAACCCAGUGCAAGGCCUGAGCUGAUCUCGCGCUAAAGAACUUGGCAAUUGGCAUGGGCAUCCACGUGAUUGAUGUUAUGUUUCCCAUGUAAGAAAAUAAAGCAGGUGUAGUCUGGUCAGCGGCUGGCUAGUAGCUUGUUGACAAUGCAUACAUGUACUAUGUAUAGAUGCAUGUUUGGCACAUCUUGACGUAAGUGAUCUAUUUUGCUCUUCGGUGUCUAGCUCAACGAGGCAACAUUAACUGGUAUCUUUUCUUUUC
Molecule: long non-coding RNA, 1469 nt
Organism: Brachypodium distachyon (stiff brome)
Lineage: Eukaryota; Viridiplantae; Streptophyta; Magnoliopsida; Poales; Poaceae
Exons: 4
Source: RefSeq, a predicted model, not a curated record